CCUACGGGAGGCAGCAGUGGGGAAUAUUGCACAAUGGGCGAAACCCUGAUGCAGCAACGCCGCGUGAGUGAUGAAGGCCUUCGGGUUGUAAACUUCUGUCUUCAGGGACGAUAAUGACGGUACCUGAGGAGGAAGCCACGGCUAACUACGUGCCAGCAGCCGCGGUAAU
This 169-nucleotide ribosomal RNA is filed under the name uncultured Bacillota bacterium. RNAcentral's name for it is "uncultured Firmicutes bacterium partial 16S ribosomal RNA". It matches the Rfam family "Bacterial small subunit ribosomal RNA", at positions 338 to 524 of the family's 1533-position model. The record is from RNAcentral. Lineage: Bacteria; Bacillati; Bacillota.